UUUCCGCCAGAGAACUACAAGUGAAAAACUUAAAACUCAAAGGACUUGACGGUGCCCCACAUCGGCCUAGAGGAGCCUGUCCUGUAAUCGAUACUCCCCGCUCCACCCGACCUUAACUAGUACACAUACCAGCCUAUAUACCGCCGUCGAUCAGUCUACCCCAUGAGGGUCCAACAGUAGACAUAAUAGCCAAAUCGCUAGUACGUCAGGUCAAGGUGUAGCAAAUGUUAAGGAAGAGAUUGGCUACAUUUUUUAUGAUAAAAAACACGAAUAACACCAUGAAACAGUGCAUGAAGGUGAAUUUAGUAGUAAAACAAACAAGAGAGUUUAUUUUAACAACGCCCUGGGACGCGUACACACCGCCC
Molecule: ribosomal RNA, 365 nt
Filed under: Algyroides marchi
Lineage: Eukaryota; Metazoa; Chordata; Lepidosauria; Squamata; Lacertidae
Description: partial 12S ribosomal RNA
Rfam family: Bacterial small subunit ribosomal RNA
Source: RNAcentral